RNAcentral lists this long non-coding RNA (2469 nucleotides) under Hordeum vulgare. RNAcentral describes it as "long non-coding RNA (HVUL_LNC000204)". The record is from RNAcentral. Lineage: Eukaryota; Viridiplantae; Streptophyta; Magnoliopsida; Poales; Poaceae.
GAUAAGAUAACUCCAAGGGGAAACUCAAUUCAUUACAAGAGGGAGAGGGGGAAGAACAUCAUAAGAUCCAACUAUAGUACCAAAGCCCAUGGUACAUCGAGAUCAAGACAUCUCAAGAACACGAGAGAGAGAGAGAGAUCAAACACAUAGCUAAUGGUACAUACCCUCAGCCCCGAGGGAGAACUACUCCCUCCUCGUCAUGGAGAUCGCCGGGAUGAUGAAGAUGGCCACCGGAGAUGGAUUCCCCCUCCGGCAGGGUGCCGGAACGGGCUCCAAAUUGGUUUUUGGUGGCUACAGAGGCUUGCGGCGGUGGAACUCCCGAUUUAGGUUUCUUUUUUGGGGUUUCUAAAUUGAUCGGAAUUUAUGGCGGUGGAAUUACGUCGGUUGGGCCCACGAGGAGGUCACAAGCCCGCCUUGCGCCACCUAGGGGGUGGCGGCGUUAGGGCUUGUGACUCCCUCAUGGCUCUUCUCGCCUUCUUCCAAAGCUUCGGGGUUCUCUUUUGGUACAAAAAAAUCAUCGUAAAGUUUCAUUCCAUUUGGACUCCGUCUGAAAAUGGGCCAAAAACACGAAAAAAAACAGAAACUGGCACUUGGCACUGAGUUAAUAGGUUAGUCCCAAAAAAGAUAUAAAAGGUACAUAAAACAUCAAAAGAUGACAAGAUAACAGCAUGAAACCAUAAAAAAUUAUAGAUACGUUUGAGACGUAUUAGGCACUGUCUAGAGUUUUACUAGCAUAGUGAAUAACAUUCAACUUCUUAUCAACUCUUUGCCCUAGGACAACACCAACAGCAUAAUCACUAGCAUCACACAUGAUUUAAAAAGGUAAGUUCCAAUCAGGUGGUUGAACAAUAGGUGCAGUUAUCAAAGCCUUCUUAAGUAUUUCGAAGGCUUCCUCACAAUCAUCGUCAAAGACAAAAGGAAUAUCCUUUUGCAAGAGAUUGGUAAGAGGCCUAGAAAUCUUAGAGAAGUCUUUAAUGAACCUUCUAUAGAAACCAGCAUGACCAAGGAAACUUCUUAUACCUUUGAUAUUUGUGGGGUGUGGCAUUUUCUCGAUUGCAUCAACCUUAGCCUUAUCGACUUCAAUACCUCUUUCAGAAAUUUUAUGUCCUAACACGAUGCCUUCAGUAACCAUAAAGUGGCACUUCUCCCAAAUCAAGACAAGAUUGGUGUCUUUACAUCUCUACAAGACCCGAUCAAGGUUGCUGAGGCAAUCAUCAAAAGAAGACUCGUAAAAGAAGAAGUCAUCCAUGAAAACCUCAACAAUCUUUUCACAAAAGUCAGAGAAUAUAGACAUCAUACAUCUUUGAAAGGUGGCAGGUGCAUUACAUAAGCUAAAAGUCAUACGUCUAUAAGCAAAGGUACCAAAAGGGCAUGUGAAAGUGGUUUUCUCCUGAUCAGAUUGUGCAACUGGUAUUUGGGAGAAACCAGAAUAACCGUCUAGAAAGCAGAAGUGUGUGUGUUUAGUGAUGUUUGCUGUGUAUCCCUUGCAACGGCGCUAGAAAUAGUUGUGUCGACGGCACCAGGAAUCCUUCAGCUAUGGCUACGCCUUAAGGGACUUCCUAGGCAAGUAUGCAAAGGAUUUCCCCCGUGGCCUUGGAGCCUUGCGUUUGUGUUCCCUCGAAGGGGAAAGGGUGAUGUAGCACAGCGACGGUAAGUAUUUCCCUCAGUUUGAGAACCAAGGUAUCAAUCCGGCGGAAGAGUAUCUCAAGAUCCUACACAAACACAAAAUCUUGCACCCAAUGCUAUGAAGGGGUUGUCAAUCCCUUAUAGAUUGUUUGCCAAGUGAGAACUGAAAGCAACAAAGUAACAAAGCAAAGUAAAAGCGGAGAUGUAAACGAUGGAUGUGAAUAGACCCGAGGGCCGUAGUGUUUACUAGUGGCUUCUCUCAUGAAAGCAAGUAGACGGUGGGUGAACAAAUUACUGUCGAGCAAUUGAUAGAACUGUGCAGAGUCGUGACGAUAUCUAUGCAAUGAUUAUUUAUAUAGGCAUCACGUCUGAAACAAGUAGACAGAUACUUUCUGCAUCUACUACUAUUACUCCACACGUCGACCGCUAUCCAGCAUGCAUCUAGUGUAUUAAAUCCAUAAGAACAGAGUAACGCCUUAAGGAAGAUGACAUGAUGUAGAGGGAUAAUCUCAAACCAAUGAUAAAAACCCCAUCUUUUUACCCUUAAUGGCAACUGCUUGAUGUGUGCCUUGCUGCCCCUACUGUCACUGGGAAAGGUCACCACAUGGCAGAACCCAAAACCAAGCACUUCUCCAAUUGCAAGAAUCAUAGAUCUAGUUGGCCAAACAAAACCCAAGACUCCGAGAGACUUACAAGGAUAUCAAAUCAUGCAUAUAAGAAAUCAGCAAAGACUCAAAUAUAUAUCAUAGAUAAUCUGAUCACAAGUCCACAAUUCAUCGGAUCUCGACAAAUACACCGCCAAAGAAGAUUACAUCGGAUAGAUCUCCAUGAAGAUCAUGGAGA